Molecule: ribosomal RNA, 503 nt
Filed under: uncultured Glomus
Lineage: Eukaryota; Fungi; Glomeromycota; Glomeromycetes; Glomerales; Glomeraceae
Description: SSU rRNA
Rfam family: Eukaryotic small subunit ribosomal RNA
Source: RNAcentral
AGCAGCCGCGGUAAUUCCAGCUCCAAUAGCGUAUAUUAAAGUUGUUGCAGUUAAAAAGCUCGUAGUUGAAUUUCGAGAUCAAUUUGUUGGUCGUGCCUCGGUACGUACUGGCAAUUUUGAUUUCUCCCUUCUGAAGAACCAUGAUGUCAUUAAUUUGGUGUCAUGGGGAAUCAGGACCGUUACUUUGAAAAAAUUAGAGUGUUUAAAGCAGGCUCGCGCUUGAAUACAUUAGCAUGGAAUAAUGAAAUAGGACGUUUGAUUCUAUUUUGUUGGUUUCUAGGAUCGACGUAAUGAUUAAUAGGGAUAGUUGGGGGCAUUAGUAUUCAAUUGUCAGAGGUGAAAUUCUUGGAUUUAUUGAAGACUAACUACUGCGAAAGCAUUUGCCAAGGAUGUUUUCAUUAAUCAAGAACGAAAGUUAGGGGAUCGAAGACGAUCAGAUACCGUUGUAGUCUUAACCAUAAACUAUAGCCGACUAGGGAUCGGAUGAUGUUAAUUUUUUAAUG